GCCUAAAGCGUCCGUAGCCUGCUCUGUAAGUUUUCGGUUAAAUCUGUAUGCUCAACAUACAGGCCGCCGGGAAUACUGCAGAGCUAGGGAGUGGGAGAGGUAGACGGUACUCGGGAGGAAGUGGUAAAAUGCUUUGAUCUCUCGAUGACCACCUGUGGCGAAGGCGGUCUACCAGAACACGUCCGACGGUGAGGGAUGAAAGUUGGGGGAGCAAACCGGAUUAGAUACCCGGGUAGUCCCAACCGUAAACUAUGCAAACUCAGUGAUGCAUUGGCUUGUGGCCAAUGCAGUGUUGCAGGGAAGCCGUUAAGUUUGCCGCCUGGGAAGUACGUACGCAAGUAUGAAACUUAAAGGAAUUGGCGGGGGAGCACCACAAGGGGUGAAGCCUGCGGUUCAAUUGGAGUCAACGCCAGAAAUCUUACCCGGAGAGACAGCAGAAUGAAGGUCAAGCUGAAGACUUUACCAGACAAGCUGAGAGGUGGUGCAUGGCCGUCGCCAGCUCGUGCCGUGAGAUGUCCUGUUAAGUCAGGUAACGAGCGAGAUCCCUGCCUCUAGUUGCCACCAUUACUCUCAGGAGUAGUGGGGCGAAUUAGCGGGACCGCCGCAGUUAAUGCGGAGGAAGGAAGGGGCCACGACAGGUCAGUAUGCCCCGAA
Molecule: ribosomal RNA, 654 nt
Filed under: uncultured archaeon
Lineage: Archaea
Description: bacterial SSU rRNA
Rfam family: Archaeal small subunit ribosomal RNA
Source: RNAcentral